GAACGCUGGCGGUAUGCUUUACACAUGCAAGUCGAACGGGCUUGGGGGCUUGCUCCCGGGCUAGUGGCGAACGGGUGAGUAACAUAUCGGAACAUAUCCGGAAGUGGGGGAUAACGUAGCGAAAGUUACGCUAAUACCGCAUAUGCCCCGAGGGGGAAAGGGGGGGAUCGCAAGACCUCCCGCUUUCGGAGUGGCCGAUACCGGAUUAGCUAGAUGGUGAGGUAAAGGCUCACCAUGGCGACGAUCCGUAGCGGGUCUGAGAGGACGACCCGCCACACUGGAACUGAGACACGGUCCAGACUCCUACGGGAGGCAGCAGUGGGGAAUUUUGGACAAUGGGCGCAAGCCUGAUCCAGCCAUACCGCGUGAGUGAAGAAGGCCUUCGGGUUGUAAAGCUCUUUCAGCCGGAAAGAAAUUGCUUCUAUUAAUACUAGGAGUAGAUGACGGUACCGGAAGAAGAAGCACCGGCUAACUACGUGCCAGCAGCCGCGGUAAUACGUAGGGUGCGAGCGUUAAUCGGAAUUACUGGGCGUAAAGCGUGCGCAGGCGGUUUGGUAAGACAGACGUGAAAUCCCCGGGCUUAACCUGGGAACUGCGUUUGUGACUGCCAGACUAGAGUGUAGCAGAGGGGGGUAGAAUUCCACGUGUAGCAGUGAAAUGCGUAGAGAUGUGGAGGAAUACCGAUGGCGAAGGCAGCCCCCUGGGCUAACACUGACGCUCAUGCACGAAAGCGUGGGGAGCAAACAGGAUUAGAUACCCUGGUAGUCCACGCCCUAAACGAUGUCAACUAGGUGUUGGGGAAGGAGACUUCUUUAGUACCGCAGCUAACUGCCGCGCUCAUAUUGUUGUAGGAGGGUUCUAGCGCA
This 866-nucleotide ribosomal RNA is filed under the name uncultured bacterium. Its description in RNAcentral is "bacterial SSU rRNA". It matches the Rfam family "Bacterial small subunit ribosomal RNA", at positions 31 to 859 of the family's 1533-position model. The record is from RNAcentral.